RNAcentral lists this transfer RNA (77 nucleotides) under Oligoflexus sp. Its description in RNAcentral is "tRNA-Gly". It matches the Rfam family "tRNA". Rfam says of the family: Transfer RNA (tRNA) molecules are approximately 80 nucleotides in length. Their secondary structure includes four short double-helical elements and three loops (D, anti-codon, and T loops). RNAcentral also lists the same sequence under 2 other names. The record is from RNAcentral. Lineage: Bacteria; Pseudomonadati; Bdellovibrionota; Oligoflexia; Oligoflexales; Oligoflexaceae.
GCGGGUGUAGCUCAGUUGGCUAGAGCGGCGCGUUGCCAUCGCGCAGGUCGAGGGUUCGAGUCCCUUCACCCGCUCCA